GGACGAACGCUGGCGGCGUGCCUAACACAUGCAAGUCGAGCGAAGUACUUACGACUGAUUCCUUCGGGAUGACGAUGUAAGUAUCUUAGCGGCGGACGGGUGAGUAACGCGUGAGAAACCUGCCUUUCACAAGGGGAUAGCCUCGGGAAACUGGGAUUAAUACCCUACGAAACUGUAGCACCACAUGGUGCAUCAGUCAAAGCGUAAAGCGGUGAAAGAUGGUCUCGCGUCCCAUUAGCUAGUUGGUGAGAUAAAAGCCCCACCAAGGCAACGAUGGGUAGCCGGCCUGAGAGGGUGAACGGCCACACUGGAACUGAGACACGGUCCAGACUCCUACGGGAGGCAGCAGUGGGGAAUAUUGCACAAUGGAGGAAAAACCUCUGAUGCAGCGACGCCGCGUGAACGAUGAAGGCCUUCGGGUCGUAAAGUUCUGUCCUUGGGGAAGAUAAUGACGGUACCCGAGGAGGAAGCCCCGGCUAACUACGUGCCAGCCGCUGC
This 498-nucleotide ribosomal RNA is filed under the name uncultured bacterium. RNAcentral's name for it is "bacterial SSU rRNA". It matches the Rfam family "Bacterial small subunit ribosomal RNA", at positions 27 to 518 of the family's 1533-position model. The record is from RNAcentral.